CUGCUGGCUCGUGCCGUCCACCGAACGGUCGGCAGGCGAUCCGCGUCGGUCGCGCUGGGUGGUAUGGUUCCACAGAGGCCGGUUCUUGUGCUGCCUACCCCUUCAGGGAAGAGUUCCAAACUCGAUGUAAGCCUCCAUCCGGCGCCCCCCAGAGGGCGCGGGAGGACAACGGAGCACCCCCCGCGUUCCACCGAGCCUCCUCGGUCGCGUGGCCCGCGGGGACGUGCGAUGCUCUAGGACCCAGCGAACGCCGUGGGCGAGGACUCACGUCCCGGUCCCAAGUGAAGCAACGGUAUAACGCGGACGGCCGCUCCCGCCCCCCGACCGCCCCGGCGGCGCGGGGGCGAAGGCGCGGCGUCGCUGAGGAAUGCUACCU
This 376-nucleotide unclassified non-coding RNA is filed under the name Acacia adunca. Its description in RNAcentral is "partial external transcribed spacer". Lineage: Eukaryota; Viridiplantae; Streptophyta; Magnoliopsida; Fabales; Fabaceae. The record is from RNAcentral.